AGCUCCAAUAGCGUAUAUUAAAGUUGUUGCGGUUAAAAAGCUCGUAGUUGGAUUUCUGUUGAGGACAGCCGGUCCGUACUUUGUACGUGUAUCUGGUUUGGCCUUGGCAUCCUCAUAGAGUACGCCGCUGCGCUUGAUUGCGUGGCGCGGAAUCUAUGACUUUUACUUUGAGGAAAUUAGAGUGUUCACGGCAGGCUUUCGCCAUGAAUAUAUUAGCAUGGAAUAAUAAUAUAGGACGUCAAUCCUAUUUUGUUGGUUUCUAGGAAUGACGUAAUGAUUAAUAGGGUCAAUUGGGGGCAUUCGUAUUAACACGUCAGAGGUGAAAUUCUUGGAUUGUGUUACGACGAACUACUGCGAAAGCAUUUGCCAAGGAUGUUUUCA
RNAcentral lists this ribosomal RNA (381 nucleotides) under uncultured eukaryote. RNAcentral describes it as "SSU rRNA". It matches the Rfam family "Eukaryotic small subunit ribosomal RNA", at positions 587 to 972 of the family's 1831-position model. The record is from RNAcentral.